GGUAGGGUAUCCAAGUGGCUAAAGGAUGCGGACUGUAAAUCCGCCCGCUCCGGCGUUCGAGGGUUCGAAUCCCUCCCCUACCACCA
Molecule: transfer RNA, 86 nt
Filed under: Opitutia bacterium
Lineage: Bacteria; Pseudomonadati; Verrucomicrobiota; Opitutia
Also listed under: 1 other name
Description: tRNA-Tyr
Rfam family: tRNA
About the family: Transfer RNA (tRNA) molecules are approximately 80 nucleotides in length.
Source: RNAcentral